GUCUGGGUGGCUCAGUCAGUUGAGCGCCUGACUUCAGCUCAGGUCAUGAUCUCACAGUUUGUGAGUUCGAGCCCCAUGUCAGGCU
RNAcentral lists this transfer RNA (85 nucleotides) under Felis catus (domestic cat). It matches the Rfam family "tRNA". From Rfam's summary of the family: Transfer RNA (tRNA) molecules are approximately 80 nucleotides in length. Their secondary structure includes four short double-helical elements and three loops (D, anti-codon, and T loops). Lineage: Eukaryota; Metazoa; Chordata; Mammalia; Carnivora; Felidae. The record is from Rfam by way of RNAcentral.